CGGCCGCCAGUCCGGUUCCGCGCAGGACGCGGCGUUGCGCGCCGGCCCACGCCGCCGGGUGGUGCUGGCCACCGCGGUCGCC
RNAcentral lists this transfer RNA (82 nucleotides) under Actinoplanes derwentensis. Its description in RNAcentral is "tRNA-Ala". Lineage: Bacteria; Bacillati; Actinomycetota; Actinomycetes; Micromonosporales; Micromonosporaceae. The record is from RNAcentral.